AGUUGAUACUGGCGUCCUUGAGUGCGGUUGAAGGUGUGUGGAAUUCGUGGUGUAGCGGUGAAAUGCUUAGAUAUCACGAAGAACUCCGAUUGCGAAGGCAGCACACUAAAGCCGCUACUGACGUUGAGGCUCGAAAGUGUGGGUAUCAAACAGGAUUAGAUACCCUGGUAGUCCACACGGUAAACGAUGAAUACUCGCUGUUGGCGAUAUACAGUCAGCGCCCAAGCGAAAGCAUUAAGUAUUCCACCUGGGGAGUACGCCGGCAACGGUGAAACUCAAAGGAAUUGACGGGGGCCCGCACAAGCGGAGGAACAUGUGGUUUAAUUCGAUGAUACGCGAGGAACCUUACCCGGGCUUAAAUUGCACUGGACAGGCCAAGAGAUUGGCUCUUCUUCGGACCAGUGUGAAGGUGCUGCACGGUUGUCGUCAGCUCGUGCCGUGAGGUGUCGGCUUAAGUGCCAUAACGAGCGCAACCCUUGCCAUUAGUUACUAACAGGUUAUGCUGAGGACUCUAGUGGGACUGCCAUCGUAAGAUGUGAGGAAGGUGGGGAUGACGUCAAAUCAGCACGGCCCUUACGUCCGGGGCUACACACGUGUUACAAUGGGAGGUACAGAAGGCCGGUACCCGGCGACGGGAUGCCAAUCCCCAAAACCUCUCUCAGUUCGGAUUGGAGUCUGCAACCCGACUCCAUGAAGCUGGAUUCGCUAGUAAUCGCGCAUCAGCCACGGCGCGCAGAAAACGUUCCCGGCCAUGAUUACCC
This 761-nucleotide ribosomal RNA is filed under the name uncultured bacterium. RNAcentral describes it as "bacterial SSU rRNA". It matches the Rfam family "Bacterial small subunit ribosomal RNA", at positions 625 to 1390 of the family's 1533-position model. The record is from RNAcentral.